CCUACGGGUGGCAGCAGUGAGGAAUAUUGGUCAAUGGGCGCGAGCCUGAACCAGCCAAGUAGCGUGAAGGAUGACUGCCCUACGGGUUGUAAACUUCUUUUAUAAAGGAAUAAAGUGAGGCACGUGUGCCUUUUUGUAUGUAUUUUAUGAAUAAGGAUCGGCUAACUCCGUGCCAGCCGCCGCGGUAAUACGGAGGAUCCGAGCGUUAUCCGGAUUUAUUGGGUGUAAAGGGAGCGUAGAUGGGUUGUUAAGUCAGUUGUGAAAGUUUGCGGCGCAACCGUAAAAUUGCAAUUGAUACUGGCAGCCUUGAGUACAGUUGAGGUAGGCGGAGGUCGUGGUGUAGCGGUGAAAUGCUUAGAUAGCACGAAGAACUCCGAUUGCGAAGGCAGCCUACUAAACUGCCACUGACAUUGAUGCUCGAAAGUGUGGGUAUCAAACAGGAUUAGAUACCCUGGUAGUC
RNAcentral lists this ribosomal RNA (460 nucleotides) under uncultured bacterium. RNAcentral's name for it is "partial 16S ribosomal RNA". It matches the Rfam family "Bacterial small subunit ribosomal RNA", at positions 338 to 795 of the family's 1533-position model. The record is from RNAcentral.